RNAcentral lists this ribosomal RNA (467 nucleotides) under uncultured bacterium. Its description in RNAcentral is "partial 16S ribosomal RNA". It matches the Rfam family "Bacterial small subunit ribosomal RNA", at positions 28 to 507 of the family's 1533-position model. The record is from RNAcentral.
GAUGAACGCUGGCGGCGCGCCUAACACAUGCAAGUCGAACGAUUAAAGCACCUUCGGGUGUGUAUAAAGUGGCGAACGGCUGAGUAACACGUGGGCAACCUGCCCCUUUCAUUGGGAUAGCCACGGGAAACCGUGGAUAAUACCGAAUACUUCGAGACUUCCGCAUGGAAGACUCGAGAAAGCUCCGGCGGAGGGGGAUGGGACCGCGGCCUGUUAGCUUGUUGGUGGGGUAACGGCCUACCAAGGCAAUGAUGGGUAGCUGGGUUGAGAGGCCGACCAGCCAGAUUGGGACUGAGACACGGCCCAGACUCCUACGGGAGGCAGCAGUGGGGAAUCUUGCACAAUGGGCGAAAGCCUGAUGCAGCGACGCCGCGUGCGGGAUGAAGGCCUUCGGGUUGUAAACCGCUUUCAGCAGGGACGAGGCGAAAGUGACGGUACCUGCAGAAGAAGCCCCGGCUAACUACGUG